Molecule: transfer RNA, 75 nt
Filed under: Kluyveromyces marxianus DMKU3-1042
Lineage: Eukaryota; Fungi; Ascomycota; Saccharomycetes; Saccharomycetales; Saccharomycetaceae
Description: tRNA-Ala (ACG)
Rfam family: tRNA
About the family: Transfer RNA (tRNA) molecules are approximately 80 nucleotides in length. Their secondary structure includes four short double-helical elements and three loops (D, anti-codon, and T loops).
Source: RNAcentral
UGGGCAAAUGGCGCAGUUGGUAGCGCGCAUCCCUUGCAAGGAUGAGGUCAUCGGUUCGACUCCGGUUUUGUCCAG